CCUACGGGCGGCAGCAGUGAGGAAUAUUGGUCAAUGGCCGCAGGGCUGAACCAGCCAAGUCGCGUGAGGGAUGACGGUCCUAUGGAUUGUAAACCUCUUUUGUCAGGGAGCAAAGGGCGCCACGUGUGGCGCUUUGCGAGUACCUGAAGAAAAAGCAUCGGCUAACUCCGUGCCAGCAGCCGCGGUAAUACGGAGGAUGCGAGCGUUAUCCGGAUUUAUUGGGGUUAAAGGGUGCGCAGGCGGAAUGUCAAGUCAGCGGUAAAAUUUCGGGGCUCAACCCCGUCGUGCCGUUGAAACUGGCGUUCUUGAGUGAGCGAGAAGUAUGCGGAAUGCGUGGUGUAGCGGUGAAAUGCAUAGAUAUCACGCAGAACUCCGAUUGCGAAGGCAGCAUACCGGCGCUCAACUGACGCUCAUGCACGAAAGCGUGGGUAUCGAACAGGAUUAGAUACCCCAGUAGUC
RNAcentral lists this ribosomal RNA (459 nucleotides) under uncultured bacterium. Its description in RNAcentral is "partial 16S ribosomal RNA". It matches the Rfam family "Bacterial small subunit ribosomal RNA", at positions 338 to 795 of the family's 1533-position model. The record is from RNAcentral.